CACCGCGGUUAUACGAGAGGCUCAAGUUGAUAAACACCGGCGUAAAAUGUGGUUGACAUACCAUUAUACUAAAGCUAAACAUCUUCAAAGCUGUUAUACCCAUACGAAGACAGGAAAACCUUCUACGAAAGUGGCUUUAAAUGAAUGCUAACCCACGAAAACUAGGAAA
Molecule: ribosomal RNA, 169 nt
Filed under: Luciogobius sp. ZUNGURI-NAGA-MIMIZU-HAZE
Lineage: Eukaryota; Metazoa; Chordata; Actinopteri; Gobiiformes; Gobiidae
Description: partial 12S rRNA
Source: RNAcentral